UAGUCCACGCCGUAAACGAUCAUCACUCGCUGUUGGCGAUAUACUGUCAGCGGCCAAGCGAAAGUAUUAAGUGAUGCACCUGGGGAGUACGCCGGCAACGGUGAAACUCAAAGGAAUUGACGGGGGCCCGCACAAGCGGUGGAGCAUGUGGUUUAAUUCGAUGAUACGCGAGGAACCUUACCAGGGCUUAAAUGUAGUAUGACCGGCUUGGAAACAGGCCUUCUCUUCGGAGCAGAUUACAAGGUGCUGCAUGGUUGUCGUCAGCUCGUGCCGUGAGGUGUUAGGUUAAGUCCUGCAACGAGCGCAACCCCUAUUCUUAGUUGCCAGCGGUUCGCCGGGGACUCUAAGAGACUGCCAGCGCAAGCUGAGAGGAAGGUGGGGGAUGACGUCAAGUCAUCAUGGCCCUUAUGGGCUUGGGGCUACACACGUGCUACAAUGGUCGGUACAAAGGGG
RNAcentral lists this ribosomal RNA (453 nucleotides) under uncultured bacterium. RNAcentral's name for it is "bacterial SSU rRNA". It matches the Rfam family "Bacterial small subunit ribosomal RNA", at positions 791 to 1247 of the family's 1533-position model. The record is from RNAcentral.